Molecule: transfer RNA, 77 nt
Filed under: Paenibacillus thiaminolyticus
Lineage: Bacteria; Bacillati; Bacillota; Bacilli; Caryophanales; Paenibacillaceae
Description: tRNA-Val
Rfam family: tRNA
About the family: Transfer RNA (tRNA) molecules are approximately 80 nucleotides in length. Their secondary structure includes four short double-helical elements and three loops (D, anti-codon, and T loops).
Source: RNAcentral
GCUCGCUUAGCUCAGAAGAGGAGAGCGUUCGGUUUACACCCGAAAGGUCAGAGGUUCGAGUCCUCUAGCGAGUACCA